RNAcentral lists this transfer RNA (65 nucleotides) under Dipodomys ordii (Ord's kangaroo rat). It matches the Rfam family "tRNA". From Rfam's summary of the family: Transfer RNA (tRNA) molecules are approximately 80 nucleotides in length. The record is from Rfam by way of RNAcentral. Lineage: Eukaryota; Metazoa; Chordata; Mammalia; Rodentia; Heteromyidae.
GGUGGCUCAGUGGUAGAGCUCUUGCCUUGCAUGCAUGAGGCCCUGGGUUCUAUUCCUUAGCACCA